Musa acuminata AAA Group (dessert banana) is the source of this 1939-nucleotide long non-coding RNA. RefSeq lists it as uncharacterized. The record is from RefSeq and is a predicted model, not a curated record. NCBI's taxonomy places the organism in Eukaryota, Viridiplantae, Streptophyta, Magnoliopsida, Zingiberales, Musaceae. The transcript has 5 exons.
UAACACUCAAGGAUAUAUCUUUGUCAAGCUUCUUAUUGCUGCUAUGCACUUUUAGUAUUUCUUCCCUUCCUCUGAUGUCAGGCAAUCCAACAGUUACCUGCAAGGCAAAGUAAGAGUAAAUAGUCACUCUCUCGUAAGUGUGGAAACAAUUUUGUUACCUGUCGAUCAAAUCUUCCUGGUCUGAGCAAAGCUGAAUCAAGAACUUCUGGUCUGUUAGUAGCAGCAAUUACAAUAACUCCACUAUCACCACUAAAACCAUCCAUUUCAAUCCCGCACUCUCGAAGCCCCGACUCCGACAAACAUCUCAAUGAAUUCUGAACCUGACAGAGAAAAGAAAGGAACCCCUGCCUCUCCUGCAAUUGCUUUAGCCAGCAAGGUUUUGCCAGUCCCUGGUGGACCAACAAGGAGCACACCCUUUGGAAUUCUUGCUCCGACAGCAGCAAACUUCUCUGGGGAUUUCAGGAAUUCAACAAUCUCCUUGAAAUCCUGCUUUGCUUCAUCGACUCCAGCUACAUCAUCAAAGGUGAUUCCUGUGUUGGGUUCCAUCUGAAACUCGGCUUUUGACCUGCACAGAGUUCAUAAGCAUCAAUGCUUUGUGUGCGUACCUUCUUCUGAACCAUCCAAAAGGCAAGUUGGGGCUUCCUGGAGUAUUCGGUGAUGAAGAUCUAAGGAACAAAGUUCCCAGUAACAGCAAGGGGAAGACCAGAUUUCCCAACAAGUCGAGGAUUGCAAGUCCCACAUUGGGUUCCACGGGAUGCGCUGCAAAAUCUACAUCCUUCUCUUUGAGUUUCCUGAGAAGCUCCGGGGGCAAUCCAGGAAGCUGCACUUUGACUCUCUGGAUCUUUUUCAAGGCUGGGUUAGAUAUCUCAGCAACGGCGACCGUCCCAUUCUCAAAUAGAUCCACCUUCUUCACUGCUCCUUCGUUCAGGUACUCCAAGAAUCGUGAGUAAGACAUCCUGCUGGAUGCAGACUCUUGAGGACUCUCUGGCUGAGCCAUUGCCGGCUUAGCUACAGAUAGCCCUGCUCCAACGAGGCCCAGCCCCACAGAUUGGAGCAGCUUUCUUCUUCGAAAAUCGGCAUCCGAAACCGUUCUCUGGUUUAGGUUCUCUCUCCUCACAGAUGAUUUAAUGUGGCACUUUCUGGCAACAUCCAGGGAGUUGCAGACGGAAAGGUGGGUGGCAGCGAGAGACACAGCAGCAGGUGACAUUCUUCUUCCUUCUUGAACAGGAAAGUUCUUCUGGUUCUAACUAUGCUAAGCAAAUGAGAUGUCAAGGGACCACUUGUACCGAGGCAGAUGGACAAUGGCGGUUGCUGGUGGUUUAAAUAGCAUGAGCAAUGCAAUGGAAUUCUGAGUUGCAGAAACUUCAAGGUGAAAAUGUUCAUUCAUCAGUAGUAGUGUCUGCUGAAAGAAGAGAGACAUCGCAUGAUCUGUCGAUUAAGUCGAAGCAUCCAGGUUGACCACACACGUGGGGGACUCGGCUCUUCGAUUGAUUGAGGUACAUCGUGCUUAUCAGGACAUGUGGAAGCGGCUUCUGUGGUUCCAUGAAGCCUGAGGUGAAUGCUCGACACUAUCAACUGGAGAGUUCUGACUGGUUCUGGAGAUUACUGGAGCCAAAUUCUAAGUAGCCAAGGUGGUGUUAGAUGAUAUUUUUAGAAAGGUGUAAGCAUAUCACAAUGAAGCAAAAAAAUAUAUGGUACAUCGAAUUAAUAAUGAUGGGAGAGUAUAAAGAACAGGUAAUCAUCAUCACAUGAAGGUCUUUAGUUGUAAAGUAUUUGAUUAUUACAUCAAAUACUAAAUAAAAAAUUAGAGUUUGACAGUGACGUAGAAAAAAAAACGUUUAAUAGAUAUUAAUAUCGAACCAUUCAGAAUUAUAUGACUGACAUAUUUUAUAUUGAUGUUUUGAAUGUCAACAAUAUAAGAGGUUGCCAUUUUUCUUCC